AUACCCUAUUAUUAAGAAAAAUUAUAUUGUUAGUAUAUAAAUUGUAUGAAAACAAAAAAUUAUGGCGGUAUUUUAAGCUUUUCAGAGGAAUUUGCUCUUUAAUGGAUAAAACACCUAAAUCUUACUAAAUUUAGUUAAGCAGUUUGUAUACCACUAUUUAAGUAAUAAUUUGCUAUUAUUACUAAAAUUUAUAUUAAUUAAAAAAAGUUAAGUCAAGGUGCAGCAUAAAUUUUAGUAUGAAGUGAAUUACAUUUCUUUUAAGAAAAAUUUGUUGAAAAUAAAAUUUAGGAUUUGAAAGUAAAAUUUUAAUAGAAGGAAAAUUUGAAUUAAGCUCUAAAAUAUGUACACAUCGCCC
Molecule: ribosomal RNA, 355 nt
Filed under: Haemaphysalis longicornis (longhorned tick)
Lineage: Eukaryota; Metazoa; Arthropoda; Arachnida; Ixodida; Ixodidae
Description: partial 12S ribosomal RNA
Source: RNAcentral